Molecule: ribosomal RNA, 499 nt
Filed under: uncultured bacterium
Lineage: Bacteria
Description: partial 16S ribosomal RNA
Rfam family: Bacterial small subunit ribosomal RNA
Source: RNAcentral
GAUGAACGCUGACAGAAUGCUUAACACAUGCAAGUCUACCAAGAAUCACUUCGGUGAGGAAUGGUGGCGGACGGGUGAGUAACGCGUAAAUAAUCUGCCCUUUAGACUGGGAUAUCCUUUGGAAACGAAGGUUAAUACCGGAUAUUAUGAGAUGGACGCAUGUUCAACUUAUGAAAGCUAAAUGCACUAGAGGAGGAGUUUGCGUCCCAUUAGCUAGUUGGUGAGGUAAAGGCGCACCAAGGCCACGAUGGGUAGCCGGCCUGAGAGGGUGAACGGCCACAAGGGAACUGAGACACGGCCCAGACUCCUACGGGAGGCAGCAGUAGGGAAUCUUCCGCAAUGGGCGAAAGCCUGGCGGAGCAACGCCGCGUGAGUGAUGAAGGUCUUCGGAUCGUAAAACCCUGUUGUUAGGGAAGAACAAAUUUGUUAGUAACUGAACAAGUCUUGACGGUACCUAACCAGAAAGCCACGGCUAACUACGUGCCAGCAGCCGCCGUAA